GACGAACGCUGGCGGCGUGCUUAACACAUGCAAGUCGAACGGAAAGGCCCUGCUUUUGUGGGGUGCUCGAGUGGCGAACGGGUGAGUAACACGUGAGUAACCUGCCCUUGACUGUGGGAUAACUUCAGGAAACUGGGGCUAAUACCGGAUAGGAGCUCCUGCUGCAUGGUGGGGGUUGGAAAGUUUCGGCGGUUGGGGAUGGACUCGCGGCUUAUCAGCUUGGUGGUGGGGUAGUGGCUUACCAAGGCUUUGACGGGUAGCCGGCCUGAGAGGGUGACCGGCCACACUAGGUUUGGGAUACGGCCCAGCCUCAUACGGGACGCAGCAGUGGAGAAGAUUGCACUGCGGGCGGAGGCAUAGUCCGGCGCCGCCAUGUCGGGUGUAUCGGGCUUCGCGUUGGAUACCGCUUUUGUUUGUGACGAAGCGUGAGUGACGGUAAUCGGUAAAGAAGCCCCGGCUAACUACGUG
RNAcentral lists this ribosomal RNA (468 nucleotides) under uncultured bacterium. RNAcentral's name for it is "partial 16S ribosomal RNA". It matches the Rfam family "Bacterial small subunit ribosomal RNA", at positions 28 to 507 of the family's 1533-position model. The record is from RNAcentral.